AUUUAUAUAGUAUAAUGCAAUUACAUUUAAUUUCCAAUUAAAAUAUUUAAUUUAAUCUUUAAUAUAAAUA
RNAcentral lists this transfer RNA (70 nucleotides) under Pheidole taipoana. RNAcentral's name for it is "tRNA-Gly". Lineage: Eukaryota; Metazoa; Arthropoda; Insecta; Hymenoptera; Formicidae. The record is from RNAcentral.